UACGGGGGGGGUAAGCGUUGUUCGGAAUUACUGGGCGUAAAGGGCUCGUAGGCGGCCAACUAAGUCAGACGUGAAAUCCCUCGGCUUAACCGGGGAACUGCAUCUGAUACUGGAUGGCUUGAGUUCGGGAGAGGGAUGUGGAAUUCCAGGUGUAGCGGUGAAAUGCGUAGAUAUCUGGAGGAACACCGGUGGCGAAGGCGGCAUCCUGGACCGACACUGACGCUGAGGAGCGAAAGCCAGGGGAGCAAACGGG
Molecule: ribosomal RNA, 253 nt
Filed under: uncultured bacterium
Lineage: Bacteria
Description: partial 16S ribosomal RNA
Rfam family: Bacterial small subunit ribosomal RNA
Source: RNAcentral